RNAcentral lists this ribosomal RNA (503 nucleotides) under uncultured bacterium. RNAcentral describes it as "partial 16S ribosomal RNA". It matches the Rfam family "Bacterial small subunit ribosomal RNA", at positions 30 to 523 of the family's 1533-position model. The record is from RNAcentral.
AUUGAACGCUGGCGGCAGGCUUAACACAUGCAAGUCGAGCGGGGUGAUGGUGCUUGCACUAUCACUUAGCGGCGGACGGGUGAGUAAUGCUUAGGAAUCUGCCUAUUAGUGGGGGACAACAUCUCGAAAGGGAUGCUAAUACCGCAUACGUCCUACGGGAGAAAGCAGGGGAUCACUUGUGACCUUGCGCUAAUAGAUGAGCCUAAGUCGGAUUAGCUAGGUGGUGGGGUAAAGGCCUACCAAGGCGACGAUCUGUAGCGGGUCUGAGAGGAUGAUCCGCCACAGUGUGACUGAGACACGGCCCAGACUCCUACGGGAGGCAGCAGUGGGGAAUAUUGGACAAUGGGGGGAACCCUGAUCCGGCCGUGCCGCGUGUUUGAAGAAUGCCUUGUGGUUGUAAAGCACUUUAAGCGAGGAGGAGGCUCUUUUGGUUAAUACCCAAGAUGAGUGUACGUUACUCGCAGAAUAAGCACCGGCUAACUCUGUGCCAGCCGCCGCCGUAA